Molecule: non-coding RNA, 634 nt
Organism: Rattus norvegicus (Norway rat)
Lineage: Eukaryota; Metazoa; Chordata; Mammalia; Rodentia; Muridae
Source: RefSeq, a predicted model, not a curated record
CUGAGCAGCUACUUGGUUGUUGGUUUUUCCAGUGAGAGACAGCCACCCUUAGCCACUGAAUCCUUUCUCCGGCUCACACACCCUUGGUUUUGCUUAUUUUGUUCUCAAAUGGGUCCUUCAGAAUUAACUCAGGUCCUCAUGAUUGCUUGGAAACAAUUCACCGAGAGAACCAUCUCCCUUUACUUCUUUCAGUGUGUGUGUGUGUGUGUGUGUGUGUGUAUGUGUGUGUGUGUGUGUAUACUCUCACGUGUGCAUGUGUUCAGGCCAGAGGACAGCUUUUGUGACUCACUUCUCUCUUUCUACCACGUGGGUUCUGGGGAUCAAACUCAGGUCGUCAGAGUUGGUGGCAAUCACCUCUAACCAACAAACCAUCUCGCUGUCCCCUCAGCCUGUUUUAGACAAGUCUAAAUCUGUCCUCCAGAGAUGGCCAUGUGAUCGAUCGUUCAACAGAGCUCUCAGCGCUGACCGGGUUAAGAGCUGGGUUUCCAGGGAGCAUCCUCAGCUGUCUUCUUCCUCACACGCGGCAGCCAGUUCCUUGCCCAAAGCAUCCAACCCCAUAGAGGAACAUGAAGAAUGUGAAGAAUGUGUCUCUUGGACCAGCGGUACUACAGGUUUCUACCUUUUAUAGUUGACC